Molecule: ribosomal RNA, 460 nt
Filed under: uncultured Syntrophus sp.
Lineage: Bacteria; Pseudomonadati; Thermodesulfobacteriota; Syntrophia; Syntrophales; Syntrophaceae
Description: bacterial SSU rRNA
Rfam family: Bacterial small subunit ribosomal RNA
Source: RNAcentral
CCCGCACCGAAGCGGUGGAGCAUGUGGUUAAUUCGAUGCAACGCGAAGAACCUUACCUGGGCUUGACAUCCCUGGAAUCCCCUGGAAACAGGGGAGUGCCUUCGGGAGCCAGGAGACAGGUGCUGCAUGGCUGUCGUCAGCUCGUGUCGUGAGGUGUUGGGUUAAGUCCCGCAACGAGCGCAACCCUUGUCUUUAAUUGCCAUCAUUCAGUUGGGCACUUUAAAGAGACUGCCGGUGUUAAACCGGAGGAAGUGGGAUGACGUCAAGUCCUCAUGGCCUUUAUGCCCAGGGCUACACACGUGCUACAAUGGGUGGUGCAAAGAGAUGCAAUCUCGCAAGAGCAAGCAAACCUCAAAAAGCCAUCCUCAGUUCGGAUUGGAGUCUGCAACUCGACUCCAUGAAGUCGGAAUCGCUAGUAAUCGCGGAUCAGCACGCCGCGGUGAAUACGUUCCCGGGCCUU